GGUUGUGGCUCAGUGGUAGAGUGCUUGCCUAGCACGUAUGAGGCACUGGGUUCAAUCCUCAGCACCA
This 67-nucleotide transfer RNA is filed under the name Marmota monax (woodchuck). It matches the Rfam family "tRNA". Rfam says of the family: Transfer RNA (tRNA) molecules are approximately 80 nucleotides in length. Lineage: Eukaryota; Metazoa; Chordata; Mammalia; Rodentia; Sciuridae. The record is from Rfam by way of RNAcentral.